AGCAAAUUCUCAUUGCACACUUCUGCAAUGCAGGAACAUCCCCUCCAAAUUGAAACCACCAUUGGGCUGCAAGAUAUCACCAAUGAAAUUUUCAGAAUUGCAAACAAAAAGGAGAUGAAAAUUCUAAAACUAAAGGACCAUGUCUUACUUGGCUCCAUUCUCGCCGCAGCUUCUUCUGCUAAUCUGGUCCCAAACCUCCCUUGGCACUCCCUAAACUUACUUACUUCAUCAAUGGCUGAAAGAGCACUCUUUGGAUCUAAUAUCUUCGCUAUCGCAUCUGUUAGUGAGGUAGCAUAAUCUGUAUGGUUGCAAAGGUUGAGCUUGUAAUGUGUAUAUGGAUCAAGGAC
Molecule: long non-coding RNA, 347 nt
Filed under: Triticum aestivum (bread wheat)
Lineage: Eukaryota; Viridiplantae; Streptophyta; Magnoliopsida; Poales; Poaceae
Description: long non-coding RNA (TAES_LNC027448)
Source: RNAcentral